GACAGAGGUGCCGAGCGUUAGGCGGAAUCACUGGGCUUAAAGCGUGUGUAGGCGGAUGGGUAAGUACCUUGUGAAAUCCCACGGCUCAACCGUGGAACUGCUCGGUAUACUGCUCGUCUUGAGCCAACUAGGGGCGACCGGAACAAACGGUGGAGCGGUGAAAUGCGUAGAGAUCGGGAAGAACAUCGGUGGCGAAGGCGGCCUGCUGGGCUGUUGCUGACGCUGAGGCGCGACAGCGUGGGGAGCAAACAGG
RNAcentral lists this ribosomal RNA (253 nucleotides) under uncultured bacterium. Its description in RNAcentral is "partial 16S ribosomal RNA". It matches the Rfam family "Bacterial small subunit ribosomal RNA", at positions 524 to 776 of the family's 1533-position model. The record is from RNAcentral.